This 2909-nucleotide ribosomal RNA is filed under the name Clostridioides difficile. RNAcentral describes it as "bacterial LSU rRNA". It matches the Rfam family "Bacterial large subunit ribosomal RNA". Lineage: Bacteria; Bacillati; Bacillota; Clostridia; Peptostreptococcales; Peptostreptococcaceae. The record is from RNAcentral.
UCAAGUUAUUAAGGGUGCAGGGCGGAUGCCUUGGCACUAGGAGCCGAUGAAGGACGUGAUAAGCUGCGAUAAGCUUCGGGGAGUUGCACGUAAACUUUGAUCCGAAGAUUUCCGAAUGAGGAAACUCACUUAGAGUAAUGUCUAAGUAUCAUUAAGUGAAUACAUAGCUUAAUGAGGGGAACUCAGGGAACUGAAACAUCUAAGUACCUGAAGGAAGAGAAAGAAAUUCGAUUCCGUAAGUAGCGGCGAGCGAACGCGGAUUAGCCCAAACCAAUAAAGUUUUCUUUGUUGGGGUUGCGGACAUAUCAUAACGAAGAGGUAUCGUAAUUGAAGAGGUUUGGAAAGACCCACCACAGAAGGUAAUAGUCCUGUAUGUUAAACGAGAAGACUUUAGAUAUGAUCCAGAGUACCACGGGACACGUGAAACCCUGUGGGAAGCAGGAGGGACCACCCUCCAAGGCUAAAUACUACCUAGUGACCGAUAGCGUAUAGUACCGUGAGGGAAAGGUGAAAAGAACCCCGGGAGGGGAGUGAAAUAGAACCUGAAACCCUGCACUUACAAGCUGUGGAAGCACAUUUCUUGUGUGACCGCGUACUUUUUGUAGAACGGGCCAACGAGUUACGUUAAGUAGCAAGGUUAAGCACUUAAGGUGNNNNNNNNNNNNNNGGAGCCGUAGCGAAAGCGAGUUUUAACUGAGCGUUCAGUUACUUGACGUAGACCCGAAACCGGGCGACCUACCCAUGAGCAGGAUGAAGCGAAAGUAAAAUUUCGUGGAGGUCCGAACCCACGAGCGUUGAAAAGCUCGGGGAUGACUUGUGGGUAGCGGUGAAAUUCCAAUCGAGCCCGGAGAUAGCUGGUUCUCCCCGAAAUAGCUUUAGGGCUAGCCUCAAGGUGAGAGAUACGGAGGUAGAGCACUGAAUGUCCUAGGGGGUAUUGCACCUACCGAAGACUAUCAAACUCCGAAUGCCGUCAUCUUAUACUUGGGAGUCAGACUGUGGGUGAUAAGAUUCAUAGUCGAAAGGGCAACAGCCCAGAUCGUCAGCUAAGGUCCCUAAAUGUAAGUUAAGUGGUAAAGGAUGUGGGAUUGCACAGACAACCAGGAUGUUGGCUUAGAAGCAGCCACUCAUUCAAAGAGUGCGUAAUAGCUCACUGGUCGAGUGAUCCUGCGCCGAAGAUUUCCGGGGCUAAAACUUACUACCGAAGCUACGGCAUCAGUAAUGAUGGGUAGGGGAGCUUCCCAUACGGGUUGAAGCAUGACCGUAAGGACAUGUGGACAGUAUGGGAGUGAGAAUGUUGGCAUGAGUAGCGAGAUGUGGGUGAGAAUCCCACAGGCCGUAAACCCAAGGUUUCCAGGGGAAGGUUCGUCCGCCCUGGGUUAGUCGGGACCUAAGCUGAGGCCGAAAGGCGUAGGUGAUGGACAACAGGUUGAUAUUCCUGUACUACCGAUAACCGUUUGAGAGAAGGGAUGACACAGUAGGAUAAGCUAAGCACACUGUUGGUUAUGUGUGCCCAAGCAUUGAGGCAGUCAAAGUAGGCAAAUCCGCUUUGAUAAUGCUGGGAUGUGAUGGGGAGCGAAAUUUAGUAGCGAAGUAGCUGAUUUCACACUGUCAAGAAAAGUCUCUAUCGAGGUUAAAGGUACCCGUACCGCAAACCGACACAGGUGGGUGAGGAGAGUAUCCUAAGGCCAGCGAGAGAACUGUUGUUAAGGAACUCGGCAAAAUGACCCCGUAACUUAGGGAUAAGGGGUGCCACCAUCAGGUGGCCGCAGAGAAUAGGCCCAAGCGACUGUUUACCAAAAACAUAGGUUUCUGCUAAGUCGCAAGACGAUGUAUAGGAGCUGACGCCUGCCCGGUGCUGGAAGGUUAAGGGGAUCUGUUAGAGCAAUCGAAGCAGUGAACUUAAGCCCCAGUAAACGGCGGCCGUAACUAUAACGGUCCUAAGGUAGCGAAAUUCCUUGUCGGGUAAGUUCCGACCCGCACGAAAGGCGUAACGAUUUGGGCACUGUCUCAACAACAGACUCGGUGAAAUUGUAAUUCCGGUGAAGAUGCCGGAUACCUGCGACAGGACGGAAAGACCCCAUGGAGCUUUACUGUAGCUUGACAUUGGGUCUUGGUACUACAUGUACAGGAUAGGUGGGAGGCUUUGAAACCAGGACGCCAGUUUUGGCGGAGCCAUCCUUGGGAUACCACCCUUGUAGUACUGGGACUCUAACCAUAGGCCAUGAAUCUGGUCUUGGGACACUGUCAGGUGGGCAGUUUGACUGGGGCGGUCGCCUCCCAAAAGGUAACGGAGGCGCUCAAAGGUUCUCUCAGUACGGUCGGAAAUCGUACGUAGAGUGUAAAGGCAAAAGAGAGCUUGAUUGCAAGACAUACAGGUCGAGCAAGGAUGAAAAUCGGACUUAGUGAUCCGGUGGUUCUGCGUGGAAGGGCCAUCGCUCAACGGAUAAAAGCUACCCUGGGGAUAACAGGCUUAUCUCCCCCAAGAGUCCACAUCGACGGGGAGGUUUGGCACCUCGAUGUCGGCUCAUCACAUCCUGGGGCUGUAGUAGGUCCCAAGGGUUGGGCUGUUCGCCCAUUAAAGUGGUACGCGAGCUGGGUUCAGAACGUCGUGAGACAGUUCGGUCCCUAUCCGUCGCAGGCGUAGGAAAUUUGAGAAGACCUGUCCUUAGUACGAGAGGACCGGGAUGGACGUACCUCUGGUGUACCAGUUGUCCUGCCAAGGGCAUGGCUGGGUAGCUAUGUACGGAAUGGAUAAGCGCUGAAAGCAUCUAAGCGCGAAGCCAACUUCAAGAUAAGAUUUCCCACCGCAAGGGUAAGACCCCAGAAAGACUAUCUGGUUGAUAGGUCGAAGGUGUAAGUGCAGCAAUGUAUUUAGCUUAUCGAUACUAAUAGGUCGAGGACUUGACCAA